Molecule: long non-coding RNA, 885 nt
Filed under: Pavo cristatus (Indian peafowl)
Lineage: Eukaryota; Metazoa; Chordata; Aves; Galliformes; Phasianidae
Description: lncRNA (ENSPSTG00000009548.1)
Source: RNAcentral
AUUGUAGCAAGCCCAUUGUUGCUUGCAAAUGUCUUCUCAGCUAGCUACACUCUGCCCCAGUAUCUUGAUUGCCUGAGAGGAGAAAGUUUGGGCCUUUGCAGUAAAGUAUCCAUUUUCUUUAUUAGGUACAGAAUCUGUUUACACCUAGUGUGCUUUAGGGGGUGAUGUGUUCAGGUGCAUGCCAGUCAACCUCACAUUUGGCCCUGUGGAGUGCCCCUGAAAUUCAUAGUGGUGGAACCAGGCUGAGUGUGGAGAAUGGGAGGCAACAAAUCAAUGUUAUUCAUUCAGCUGUCAAUCGCAUUCCAGGCCUCUCACACCUCAUGAUGGCUGAACAAGGUAGAAGUAAAGGUGGCAUUUGUGCUGCAGGACAGUGUGCAGAACUAAAUGAAAAGUCUUUUCUGAAGGAAAACUCCCACAUAAGAUUGUAUGAAUGAGGAUUAUAAUUUAUAGUCUGCAAUUAAUUCGUAUGUGCUGAAACAAUUUAUUGAGUCAUUAAAUGAAAAUAUUGUUUCUGUUCCCAGCUAUGUGUAAUUUUUAGCUCUACUUAUAGCAAGUGACUUCAUCAGAGAACCAUCACUCUGUGUGACAAAUGAUAUUACCUUCAGAGGACUCAAGCUGUGUAAUUUUGAACCCACACGUGGCCUUCAGCUCACAGAGAAAGUGGUACCAGAUGCCACAGUGAUUGUAGCUGGAAGGUUCAUAUUUUUUGGCAUUCUUGUAGUUGUUAGCAAAAAACUGGCAGCCGCUGUGUCUCGUGCCGUGUGUGUGGCCAAAAGGUAUGAUGUAUUUGAUUUCAUAAUACCUCUUCACAAGGUGUAGCAGCCUGUAACUUUGCAGUCAUCAUUUGCAAUGAAUCUUUCAUCAAUUGCUUCCACUGUAGUAAAU